RNAcentral lists this ribosomal RNA (497 nucleotides) under uncultured bacterium. RNAcentral describes it as "partial 16S ribosomal RNA". It matches the Rfam family "Bacterial small subunit ribosomal RNA", at positions 28 to 507 of the family's 1533-position model. The record is from RNAcentral.
GAUGAACGCUGGCGGCGUGCCUAAUACAUGCAAGUCGAGCGAACAGACGAGGAGCUUGCUCCUCUGACGUUAGCGGCGGACGGGUGAGUAACACGUGGAUAACCUACCUAUAAGACUGGGAUAACUUCGGGAAACCGGAGCUAAUACCGGAUAAUAUAUUGAACCGCAUGGUUCAAUAGUGAAAGACGGUUUUGCUGUCACUUAUAGAUGGAUCCGCGCCGCAUUAGCUAGUUGGUAAGGUAACGGCUUACCAAGGCGACGAUGCGUAGCCGACCUGAGAGGGUGAUCGGCCACACUGGAACUGAGACACGGUCCAGACUCCUAAGGGAGGCAGCAGUAGGGAAUCUUCCGCAAUGGGCGAAAGCCCGACGGAGCAACGCCGCGUGAGUGAUGAAGGUCUUCGGAUCGUAAAACUCUGUUAUUAGGGAAGAACAAAUGUGUAAGUAACUAUGCACGUCUUGACGGUACCUAAUCAGAAAGCCACGGCUAACUACGUG